This 432-nucleotide ribosomal RNA is filed under the name uncultured bacterium. Its description in RNAcentral is "partial 16S ribosomal RNA". It matches the Rfam family "Bacterial small subunit ribosomal RNA", at positions 29 to 506 of the family's 1533-position model. The record is from RNAcentral.
AACGAACGCUGGCGGCAUGCCUAACACAUGCAAGUCGAACGAGACCUUCGGGUCUAGUGGCGCACGGGUGCGUAACGCGUGGGAACCUGCCCUUAGGUUCGGAAUAACUCCCCGAAAGGGGUGCUAAUACCGGAUAAUGUCUUCGGACCAAAGAUUUAUCGCCUUUGGAUGGGCCCGCGUUGGAUUAGCUAGUUGGUAGGGUAAAAGCCUACCAAGGCGACGAUCCAUAGCUGGUCUGAGAGGAUGAUCAGCCACACUGGGACUGAGACACGGCCCAGACUCCUACGGGAGGCAGCAGUGGGGAAUAUUGGACAAUGGGCGAAAGCCUGAUCCAGCAAUGCCGCGUGAGUGAUGAAGGCCUUAGGGUUGUAAAGCUCUUUUACCCGGGAUGAUAAUGGCAGUACCGGGAGAAUAAGCUCCGGCUAACGCCGU